This 53-nucleotide non-coding RNA is filed under the name Rahnella aquatilis CIP 78.65 = ATCC 33071. The record is from RNAcentral. Lineage: Bacteria; Pseudomonadati; Pseudomonadota; Gammaproteobacteria; Enterobacterales; Yersiniaceae.
CUAUAGUGCGUGCGCCGCGGCAAAAUCCGCUGCCGGGUUUCGCAGCCUGAAUA